Long non-coding RNA from Sardina pilchardus (European sardine), 2274 nucleotides. RefSeq lists it as uncharacterized. The record is from RefSeq and is a predicted model, not a curated record. The transcript is spliced from 3 exons. Lineage: Eukaryota; Metazoa; Chordata; Actinopteri; Clupeiformes; Clupeidae.
ACUGACUGCUGCCCCUGUGUCUUCCCUCUAGCCUGCCAAUUGAGUAACGAGGGGCGGGGCAGUGACCUUAAUUGGUAAACGGGCUCAAGUGCAGCCUAUUUAAGAGCAUGGUGGCUAGCAAACGGUGUAGGCUCUGCUGCAAGAAGGUGUGUGAGCACACCAGAGCCUUCCACCAGCUGGGUGCCCUGCCUGUCCGGACUACGGCAGGGGUGAUGUCGCCUGCCUCUCCGGACUGCUACAGUUGGUCAGGCUGCUGUCUUGUCUUCAUUUAGUUUUGUUUGAUGUUUGAUUUACUAUUUUGUCUGUUACUUUUGGUAUGAUUGUCUUUGUCCAUUGUCUUUCUUUUGUGAGGAGGCAGAGUGUUAAUGGGGGGUGGGGCCUAGUCACUUGCUGGGGAACUAGAGUGAGUGUGUGUGUGUACUGAGAGUUGCUUGCUGUGGAGAGCUGCAUUACUGUGUGAGACACUUUCAUAGACUUGCUGUGUUUGGUGCGAACGUAUCACCCUUGAUAUUAGCCUGCCCCCUCAGGCAAGCUCUGCCUGUCUCUGUUAUUUGUUACCCCUCCCUCUUUGUUAGAAUGUCUGUCUUUAAUGUUUAAUAAAUUGUUUAUUUUCGGAAUUCAUGUCUCCUUAUGCUUGAUCGAACCUGUGCAGCUCAGUCUCAGUAAAAGUCUCAAUCUCCUAAAGAUUCCCUGAGGCGCUAGGCCCCAGGGUGGCGUAGUCAGGCUACAGAUUUGGGGUGGUUGCCCUGACCACCCUGUUACAUUCUGGCGUAAGUCGGCAGCAAGCUAAAGACAUGAAUUCCUUUCUUUUCUUUUGUUAGAGUUGCAUAUUUGUGUUGUGCUUGUUUUUCUUUGUUUUCCUUAUUUUCAAGACAAGACAGCAGCUGACCAGAAAAUCACAUACCAGGAACCCUCUGAAGUCCAGCCUCCAACAUCCCAAGUCCCUACCCUCACCGUGUUGAAGUCCUCUGUGCCUCCUUUUGACCAGUCCGGCGGAUGGCGCCUCCGUCGGUUGGGCGGGAUCGACCCAUGAAAGGACUAUACCCACUAUCAGGAGGAUUCAUGUUGGAGUGGGACGAGCAAGACUUUUGGACUUAUGGGGGGGAGGUCAGGGUAUGUGUGUUUGCCAUGGGUUUUGCAGCUUACCCAUUUUAACCAUUUUAAUAGGUAGCCGGGGGUCAGCCUCAGAGAAUCACUGGGUCAUGGGGUGGGUCCCAUUAGCGGGGUUUUCUGAGGGGCCCCUGGUGUUCCACAUUCCAGCAUUGGCCUACUGACCAUGCUGUGUCCUUGUGUGUUGGGUAGCAGUGUUUGAAACACUGGGUCCCCAGUUGGGUAGCAGUGCUUGAGACACUGGGUCCCCUGAAUCUGGGUAGCAGAACUGGCCCAUUGGCCAGACUGCAUGCCACUGGAGCAUUUGGGUAGCCGCGCUGGUCGCGGGGUCCCCUGUAUCUGGGGUCUGGUCCAGUGACCAGACUCAUCCCCAUCAUGGGGUUGAGUGGCAGCACCGGGGUCAACCUGGCUGCCAAUUAUCUGCUUGAUUUUAAUUAUAUGUGGACUUGUGCCUGAGUGAGCCCUUACCAACCCCUCAUGUGCUCGUUUUAAAGGUGUAUCGUCGGGACGACGAUACAUCUUGGGGGGGAAGAAUGUAGUAGGAUAGACUGACUGCUGCCCCUGUGUCUUCCCUCUAGCCUGCCAAUUGAGUAACGAGGGGCGGGGCAGUGACCUUAAUUGGUAAACGGGCUCAAGUGCAGCCUAUUUAAGAGCAUGGUGGCUAGCAAACGGUGUAGGCUCUGCUGCAAGAAGGUGUGUGAGCACACCAGAGCCUUCCACCAGCUGGGUGCCCUGCCUGUCCGGACUACGGCAGGGGUGAUGUCGCCUGCCUCUCCGGACUGCUACAGUUGGUCAGGCUGCUGUCUUGUCUUCAUUUAGUUUUGUUUGAUGUUUGAUUUACUAUUUUGUCUGUUACUUUUGGUAUGAUUGUCUUUGUCCAUUGUCUUUCUUUUGUGAGGAGGCAGAGUGUUAAUGGGGGGUGGGGCCUAGUCACUUGCUGGGGAACUAGAGUGAGUGUGUGUGUGUACUGAGAGUUGCUUGCUGUGGAGAGCUGCAUUACUGUGUGAGACACUUUCAUAGACUUGCUGUGUUUGGUGCGAACGUAUCACCCUUGAUAUUAGCCUGCCCCCUCAGGCAAGCUCUGCCUGUCUCUGUUAUUUGUUACCCCUCCCUCUUUGUUAGAAUGUCUGUCUUUAAUGUUUAAUAAAUUGUUUAUUUUCGGAA